RNAcentral lists this ribosomal RNA (253 nucleotides) under uncultured bacterium. RNAcentral describes it as "partial 16S ribosomal RNA". It matches the Rfam family "Bacterial small subunit ribosomal RNA", at positions 524 to 776 of the family's 1533-position model. The record is from RNAcentral.
UACGAAGGGAGCUAGCGUUGUUCGGAAUCACUGGGCGUAAAGCGCACGUAGGCGGAUGUGUCAGUCAGGGGUGAAAUCCCGGAGCUCAACUUCGGAACUGCCUUUGAUACAGCACGUCUUGAGUCCGAUAGAGGUGGGUGGAAUUCCCGGUGUAGCGGUGAAAUGCGCAGAUAUCGGGAGGAACACCGAUGGCGAAGGCAGCACUCUGGGCCGGUACUGACGCUGAGGAGCGAAAGCGUGGGGAGCGAACAGG